UGAGAGAAGGAGGGAGACUGGUGGCCUUUAAAGGAAAAGACUCAGAGAUUUGAACGGUUGCCAGGCGGCCUCCAGGAAGAAGCAGCUGGGAGAAGCAGGACGGCACUGGACGCUUGGCAGAGAAAGACCCUGGGCAAGAGACUGGGGGUAAAGAUUUGGAGAUGAAAUAGCAAAGCGCUGAUCUAACUCAGGGCUGGCCCAAGCUGUUCCCAAGAGGGGCCCCUCAUCUUUACGAGAAUCUCUUGAGUGUCUGACUGUCUCGCUUGAUGCAGACCCAGGGUUGUAGUAGUGGCUACAUUUAUCCCAAAACAAUGAAAAGCCAACCACAAAGUUCCCCCAGCUCCCAGCCAUGCUGACACGGAAGGGAGAGGCUGUGGAAGAUGGCACUGGAUGUCCGAUGGCCCAGCCUGGUGGUGAAGGAUGUCACUUCUGCCUAUAUUCCGUUUCCCGCACUCAAUCAUGUGGUCCACGCCAUGCUGCACAGGCAGUUUGAGGAUGUGGUCUUCCCACCUGGCCAAGAUAAGGGAUGGGAAAAACUCUGGUAACAACAAGGGUCCCUGGAGAAGCCAGUCGGGGUAUCAGUGAUGGAGGGCCCAGAAAUUGUUGAGGAAUAUACUCUCUGCACAGCCAAGCCCGUUAGGAGAGACCGGCCCAUCCCCAGCUCCAGGUGGUAGAUUCCAGUUUGUCUAAAUUAGUCCAGUUCUCCUUGCUGGUGAUGGGGUUAGGCACAGACAGGUGACAAAAGCUUUUCUGGAUAUUGCUAUGCCAGAAUAUAGUGCCUGCAAGUGCUUUAUCUACCUAGCAAACUUGAGAGGCGCUAGCCCAAGGACAAAACUGAUACAGAGACAGGGAAGAGCCAAAAGAGACCCAAAGAAGCAGAGCUGUCACAAUUUGAGACUCCUUGUUAUGUGGAACAAUAGAUGCCCUUAUUGAUUAUGCCUUUCAAGUCAGGUUUCCAUCAUUUGUUGCCGAAAUCUUCCAGAUACGAUGACAUAUCUAGAGUGAUCAGGCACGGACAACAUCACCCUCUGGGAAGCUUUGUGACCUCAACAAGCACGAAAAGAUCAGCCAGGCUUUUUAGAAGAAUUCUGAGCUUGAAUCUUCGGUCAACUCUAGAAGCUGCUAAUGGUAGUUUGCUAACACCAAAUUCUGUGAAUCCUGAUAACUCCCUUAUUAAGCUACUGCUAAGGCGCCCUUCCAAGUGCGUGUAAAAUGAAGGUUUCAGAGGCAAAGGAAGGACAUCCAUUUUGGGACCAGGUCUCGGCAGAGAGUGGAAUCUAAACAACAAUUUGGAAACACCACUGCCCUAAAAAUAACUGGGGAUAUCCCACUAUGGUGGAGGGGCUGGCGGGUAACGUUUCCCACAAUAAGAAUUCCCGGUGAUAGCUAACCUGCUAUUUGUUGAAUAUGAGCUACAGCUAAAACACACUGCUAAAUGCUAACUACCAGGGGACAGUUUAUUAUCGUGAUGGCGAUUUAUAAGAGACUCUCAUAAACUCACUCGCGCUCAGAACGCACAGACCAGUGAAAAGUUCUUCCCCGCUCCUCUCCUGAUAGCUACGUGUAGACUUUCCCCCAGACGCUUGUCAACAUUCUUCAUUAAAAAUUUGGAUUCUCUCAUCAAAGCCAGCAGUCUGUUCUCUUUGAUUGCCCGUAAACCAGUGGUACUGUUUCAUUCUUUCUUUGUAUUCUCUCUGAAGAGAGUUGGUGAAAAUUUACAUAAUUUUAAUUGAAAGAUAGUUAGUCAUCAUGUGUGGGAAGGAAACGGCUGCCUAGAGUGGGUCUGGGACCCCGGGAAGCUGUCCUGUGCUCUUUUCCUUUGCUGUGCUGGCUUCUUCUCUGUGCUUUAACAUAAAACGUUUGUGAAACGAACCAAAAACGAAGUUGAGAAUUCAUCUUGU
This is a non-coding RNA of Equus caballus (horse), 1901 nucleotides long. The record is from RefSeq and is a predicted model, not a curated record. Lineage: Eukaryota; Metazoa; Chordata; Mammalia; Perissodactyla; Equidae.